Molecule: long non-coding RNA, 231 nt
Organism: Chinchilla lanigera (long-tailed chinchilla)
Lineage: Eukaryota; Metazoa; Chordata; Mammalia; Rodentia; Chinchillidae
Exons: 3
Source: RefSeq, a predicted model, not a curated record
GGAGAACGGUGGGCGUGGCUUAGAACAUGGCUAUCCCUGGGUACACCAUGUUGGCUCAUUACCGUGGAGAACAGCCCUCCUCCAUCAUGUGCUCCUACCAUGAUGCUGCCUGAGGCCCAAAGUGAUCACAGACUGAAACCUCUUUUCUCCUUUCUUUCAAGAGGUGUUAAUAUUGCUGGCUGAGGACCACACCUGGAGCAGGAAGAAUCUGGAUUCUGUGGGUUCACUGGG